Nerophis ophidion (straightnose pipefish) is the source of this 1263-nucleotide RNA transcript. It is a transcript of the gene named KIAA1328 ortholog, with no coding region annotated. Lineage: Eukaryota; Metazoa; Chordata; Actinopteri; Syngnathiformes; Syngnathidae. The transcript is spliced from 4 exons. The record is from RefSeq and is a predicted model, not a curated record.
GCGGGACCUUCAUUAUGAUAGCAACGUUUGGCGCUGUUCCUUGUCACUUGCGGCGGGUGUUUCAACAUGGCGGCGGCUGAAAGAAGAAAUGGAAAAUCUGCGAUAAUGUGGAUGAAUAGUGGUGUGGACAAAGUGGUCUCUUUUAAACCAAGCAGCACAAAUAUUACGAGUAAAAAAAGCACCAUCGUGCAAGCCAAAUGCAAUUCCAAAGCGAAAAAUGGUGGAAAAGUCUGCAAUUUUAAAAAGUGAUCAGUGUUGGUCCUUUGUCAACAAAAAUGGAUUGCCCCCGGCCACUGCUUCUGCGACCACAGACACCAGCCUUUCGUCAGGUUCCAUACCCCCAAUAUCCCAGCCCAGAGCCAGGCCUGCCUGAAAGACCUCUGUCCAGAAGACAAACGACGCAUUGCAAACCUCGUGGAAGAACUCGCCAGAGUAAGUGAGGAGAAGGAUGAGUCGGUGCAGCGCCUUCAAGAUGAACAUAAUACUUUUGAACACAAGAUCCAACAGCUGGAGCAACAGAACCUGUUCAUCGCACAUGAAAGAGAAAGUAUCCUUUCAAAAAGAUGUCAAUACACUGCACUAACGCAGGGGUUAUGUAAGGUAUGGUUAGAUUCUCUGCCAUUAAGUCACAGUAAUCCUCAAAAUUGGAAUCAAAGUCAAAUUGACUUCUGAGUUGAAGAUUAAAGGUGGACUUUCUUGAACAACCAACAAGUCCAGCUUCCUUUGAUUCUAGUCUUGACAAAGUUAUGGAAAGCACUGAUACAAUUAGCUUAAAGCCUAUGUCUCAAAGUUCAGGCCCGCGGGCCAGAUCUGGCCCCCCAGGAUGAGCCUGCUGCUGUUUUGCACACACCAAUACUCCAUCAGUGUUGAUCCUACGAGAUUUCAAAAUGGGUUCCUAAGAACCCCAUCAAAUCAUAAAAAUGGGGUCCCACAGUAAAGUUUUGGGUGCCACUUUUUUGUAAGCGUUUUGAAGACAAAUGAUUAAUGUAUGCAUUAUCCCGUUAUAUCUCACAUUCUAUAUUGUCUUUUGGAAAAAGGUUGUUAUAAAUGUGACUUCAUUCAUUAAAAAAACAAAUACAAAAGAAAACCCAUUUUUAUGCAUAUGUAAAUAUAUUCAGUUAUAAACAUUCAUUCACUUUCUUCUUUCCUUCAUGGAUCUAAACUUUACCGCUGCUGGUAUUUUUGUCUAUAUCUUUAUUGUAAUAUUUUCAGAAUGUGUUUGUUCUAUUUUUGGCCAAAGUAAUACAAAGAAAACAAUCUGAA